RNAcentral lists this ribosomal RNA (590 nucleotides) under Farysia thuemenii. RNAcentral's name for it is "partial large subunit ribosomal RNA". It matches the Rfam family "Eukaryotic large subunit ribosomal RNA", at positions 38 to 709 of the family's 3401-position model. Lineage: Eukaryota; Fungi; Basidiomycota; Ustilaginomycetes; Ustilaginales; Ustilaginaceae. The record is from RNAcentral.
GCAUAUCAAUAAGCGGAGGAAAAGAAACUAACAAGGAUUCCCCUAGUAACGGCGAGUGAAGAGGGAAGAGCCCAAGAUUGAAAGCUGGCGCCUUCGGCGUCCGCAUUGUAAUCUCAAGAAGCAUUUUCCGCUUCGGACCAAGCCUAAGUCCCUUGGAAAAGGGCAUCGUAGAGGGUGAGAAUCCCGUACAUGGCUUGGAGCGCCCGAGGCUUUGUGAUAUGCAUUCUAAGAGUCGAGUUGUUUGGGAAUGCAGCUCAAAAUGGGUGGUAAAUGCCAUCUAAGGCUAAAUAUUGGGGAGAGACCGAUAGCGAACAAGUACCGUGAGGGAAAGAUGAAAAGAACUUUGAAAAGAGAGUUAAACAGUACGUGAAAUUGCCAAAAGGGAAGGGUAGGAGGUCAGAGAUGCGGCAUGGGAUUCAGCCUUGCUUUUGCUUGGUGUUUUUCCCAUUUUGCAGGCCAACGUCGGUUUUGGGCACUGGAGAAUGGUGGGAGGAAUGUGGCACUCUUCGGGGUGUGUUAUAGCCUCCUACUGGAUACAGCGACCGGGACCGAGGAACGCAGCGUACUCGAAAGAGCGGGCCUUCGGGCAC